RNAcentral lists this ribosomal RNA (468 nucleotides) under uncultured bacterium. Its description in RNAcentral is "partial 16S ribosomal RNA". It matches the Rfam family "Bacterial small subunit ribosomal RNA", at positions 28 to 507 of the family's 1533-position model. The record is from RNAcentral.
GACGAACGCUGGCGGCGUGCUUAACACAUGCAAGUCGAACGGAAAGGCCCUGCUUUUGUGGGGUGCUCGAGUGGCGAACGGGUGAGUAACACGUGAGUAACCUGCCCUUGACUUUGGGAUAACAUCAGGAAACUGGGGCUAAUACCGGAUAGGAGCUCCUGCUGCAUGGUGGGGGUUGGAAAGUUUCGGUGGUUGGGGCUGGACUCGAGGCUUAUCAGCUUGUUGGUGGGGUAGUGGCUUACCAAGGCUUUGACGGGUAGCCGGCCUGAGAGGGGGACCGGCCACAAGGGGACUGAGAUACGGCCCAGACUCGUAUCGGAGGCAGCAGGGGGGAGUAUUGCACAAUGGGCGGAAGCCUGAUGCAGCAAUGCCGCGUUCGGGAUAACGGCCUUCGGGUUGUAAACCGCUUUCGCAUGUGCCGAAGCGUGAGUGACGGUAAUGGGUAAAGAAGCACCGGCUAACUACGUG